UUUCUCUUUUGAUGGAAAUAAGUGGGGACAAAAUGGACCAUAUUUGGUUUCAAGAGUGGUAGAAAGAUUGAUGACCUCUACACAAAAAAGUCAGUUGAAAUUUACCACGAAUAUCAUUUUAUCCAGUUGAUUGGAUUCGAAUUCCUGGAUUCUUCAUGAAAUCAAAUACAAGAAGUCAUUCAAGAUGGAUAGAAGCCAAAUUGCUUCAACUUAGUGGUGAAACUUAUGGAGUGCACCUUUGGAACAAGCAGAGUAGUAGUCUGAAAAUUGAACAAGGAAGUCUUAUAGGGAGAUUGAUUUCUGAACAUUGUUUGUUAUGUAAAAAUAUUUACAGUUCAUAAAAAGAAAUCUCACUUGUGAAUUGAAUUCUUUAAUUUCAUAUUUGUAAAAAGUUUUCAUAACAAGUUCUUGAUCAUUAUCUAAGCUUUAAUAAGCUCAAGUAAGAAGAACUUCAUUUCUUGUUCUUUAUUUCUUUAUGUCACUGUCACUGGUCUGAUGAACUUUUGAUUUCAAUAUCAAACUGUUUCUUUCUCAAUGUCUAUACAUGUUUAAAAAACACUAAAAUUUCUAUGUGGCUCCUACUUGUAUUUUUUAAGACACGGUUUAGCAUUUUUCAGAAUUGUUCAUUAGCAUAUAUAUGGUUUACUUGAAUAGAGAUUUGUAUGUUUUGGAUAUUAGCUUUCACUGACAGUCGAAUGCUUUUGCACUUUCUUUUAAUAUUUUGUAAUUAAAGCAUUUGAUAAAAAUGUUAUGCUCUCCUUUUACUGAAAAUUUAAUCUUACAUCAUUAUAUUAUUAUUAAAAUACAAUGUUGGACCCGUGACCAUCUAAUAAUAUAACUUAUGCAAACACUUUGUGGAUGGAUGCAGGGUAUGCACACACUUUGUGGAUGGAUGCUGGGUAGAGGGCAGUUGUAGCCUGUAGGAUUGGGUAGAGAUCAAGAUUGGACUGCAUGUCAGUGACGUAUGGAGUGUGUUACUUGUGGGUUCAUGAAACUCAAUAGUGUAAGUAUAUAUUAAAAAAUUUACUUACUAAAUAUUUAAAUGUAAAUAUUUUUGAAAUAUAAAUAUUUAAAUAUAAUUAUUUUUUUUA
Capsicum annuum is the source of this 1091-nucleotide long non-coding RNA. RefSeq lists it as uncharacterized. The record is from RefSeq and is a predicted model, not a curated record. The transcript has 2 exons. Lineage: Eukaryota; Viridiplantae; Streptophyta; Magnoliopsida; Solanales; Solanaceae.